CGAACGCGCGAGGGCCUUUGAUGGACUGCACCAAAUUAGUACCUUUUGCCUUAGAAUAUUGCAGGGAUCCGUGAAUUAUUAAUUGCUCUGGGUCAAACACACGCCAUCAUCCACUUGUCUACCUCUUGGUGUCAACAGGGGGGGAGAAGAAAAAGGAAAAAAGGUUGAAAGAAAAGGAGAGGAAAGGAGAAGCAGAAGAACACAGAAGACGGAAGAAAAGCGAGACAGAGAACAAAAUCAGGGGAACAAAAGGGAAAGAAAGGAAGAACAGAAGAAGAGAAAGGGAAGUAGAAAUAUAGAAAAGAAAGAGAAGAGAAGGAGAAUUUUGGAGACAGUCACGGAGACAAAAGGAGACGCAAGCACAGCAAGCACAGCCAGUCGCACCCGCUCACCAUGGCCCUGAGGAACCUUGUGGACGCCCAAUGUGGGGAAGGGAAUGCGCUGGUCCGCCUCACGCAGCACGUUAUGCGCGACAAGUCCCUGGCGGACGAGGGCCUACGCUGGCCCCAGGGGCGUCCGCCAGCCCAAGAAGGGGCCUUCAAGGUGCAGUAUGGGCCAACUCUCGUGGGGGACCAGCUGGUCGAGGAAUUCAUGACGGAGACGCAGCAGGCCGCCACAGCAGCCCCACAGGCCUUCAGGAUGGAUUCACUACUGCAGGAAAUGCGUGAGAUUGAAAGUAUGCGUGCAAGAGCAGGACCCAUGAGGGGGCCAGGCAUUGCUGACCUGGCAUCUGAGGCAAGCAACUGGGCUGAAGAAUACCUGGCCUCAGAAACACAUGUCCAGGACAUAGGCCCCGUAGGAGACUGGACCAAAGAAUUCCUUGAGCAGCAGCACGGCCUCACGUCCCCUGAUAUAAUAACAGACAAUGACACCAAGUGGGCCCACGAGUACUUGAACGACAGUCUUCUAGACGAGGCGGCAAGCUCAGAGGCUAGCAAGUGGCUGGAGGAAUACAACCCGCAAGAGGACUCUGAGCUCGCCAGGACAGCCAACGAGCUUCUGGGGACUGUGGACGACCCCAAGUUCUCUAACACUGAGUUCAUGAAAUUCAUCAGGAAGCUCGGGGAGGGGUCGAAGGGCGAGGUCACCAAGGACUGGACAGAAGAAUUCCUCUCAGCCAACGGCGCCAGGGCCUCUGCUGAGUCCUGGAGCACGGAAUUCACCAAGGGACAACAACAGAGGCAGCAGCAGCCUCACGAUCGUUGGGCAGAGGAGUUCGCUCAAGCUCAGAGAUUAGGUACCCUAGAACAUGUGAACGUAGACAGCGAGAACAUGAGCAGUGAGGAGCGGGAGGACUUUUGGCAGAACCUGAAGGAGGAGUGGGAGAAGAUGGCCCGCGAAGAUGACUUGGAGGAACACCCUUGGCUUUCAGAAUUCAAUUCGUCCUCUCUUGAGCCAUUUAAGGACUACAAAUUCGAGGAGGACAACCCCCUGAAAGAUCAUCCAGACCCCUUGACCGAGGGCAAGAAGUGCCUGGAGGCGGGAGACCUUCCCUCGGCUGUGCUCCUCUUUGAGGCUGCUGCACAGCAGAAUCCGCAGAACCCUGAGACAUGGCUGUUGCUUGGGGCUGCCCAUGCUGAGAAUGAGCAGGACCCAGCUGCAAUAUCAGCCCUCAGAAGAUGUGUAGAACUUGACCAAAAUAAUAGUGUGGCUUGGAUGGCACUAGCAACUUCUUACACCAACGAAUCUUACCAGACUCUGGCUUGCAAUGCACUAAAGGAAUGGAUCCGCACUAAUCCUGAGUAUGCCCAGUUGGUUCCAAAGGGGGACACCUCACACAAGAGAUCCAAGCUGAUGACCUCAACGCUUGCACCAAGAGCUUUGAUCCAAGAGGUGCAAGAUCUCUAUCUGGCGGCAGCCAACCAGCGCCCGAGUGAAAACAUUGACGCGGAUGUGCAGUGUGGUCUUGGCGUGCUGUUCAACCUGACGGGCGAGUAUGACAAGGCUCUUGACUGCUUCCAGGCAGCCCUGAGUGUCCGGCCGAAGAGAGGCCAUGGAGCACUUCCUGGAGGCCCUGAACAUGCAGGCGGCUGGUCGAGGGCCCGGAGGGGAGGGCUCCACGCGAGCUGUGUCUGACAAUAUCUGGUCCACCCUGAGGGUCUGUCUGUCGUCCCUAGGAGCAACACACCUCAUGGAUGCUGUCAGUAAGAGAGACUUAACUCGACUAAAUGCUGAAUACAACAUGGGCACGUCGAGCUGACUUUCCUCCCUCCACUCCAGUCCCUACCCCUCCCUCCCACCUUCCACCCAAAGCAUCCACAACACCUUCCCACCGCUGUUUACCCCCACCACUACCACCUCUCCUGCCCCUCCCCUGAGGAUAGCAGAGGUAGACUUGUGCGACGUUCACGACUGCCUGCCCUGCGAGUGCCUCCACCCACCAAGGCCAACGUCACAGGUGCCUCACCCCAGCGGACAGCACGGAAGCUGAUGGGACUCCUGUAGGACUCUCAGUCGCUGUUGUCUCUAUAGUAGUUGUGAGUGCUCCUUCACACAACUGGUUGGCUGGCUGAGUGGGUUGCAGUAGAAAAGGUUUACAGACAUAUGAGAGAGAGAGAGAGUGUGUGAGUGAGAGUGUGGAGGCAAGAGAGCAUCUGAUAUGCAUUUCCUCAAAAUUUGGUUCUCCUUCUCAGUCUGUAUUCAUCUUAAUUAUUUCUCUUUUUUGUGUGUUUAUUAUUUUUCCUCUUCAGAAUGUGCUGACAUAUAAAUACAUAUAUGCAGCUAGCAUAUAUAAAGAUACAUGCAGAGUGAGGCUAGUACUGCUUCUAGAGUACCUGAGGUAAUUGUACCAGUACUGCUUAUUUACAGUACUAUCUUAAGUGAUAGCAGGACUGUUAUGCAAUACUUUUAUACAUUAUUCUUUUGUGAGGAAAGUUAAUUUCUUGGAAGCCAAGAUAAGCCACAUAUGAAUUUUAAAUCUUUCUGUGUAGAAAAUAUGAACUUUAUUGAUGUUUUUGCAAAUAUUUUCAGCACUUAUCAUAAGUAUACAAAUUGUACUUAUUUUUGUUGCUAGAGGGUUAAGAAAGGAAGUGGUUCAUAUAAAUGCGAGAGUUCUCCUCUUCACAAUAAAAUAAUGCAUGACAAAGAAAUAAAUUGCUUUAUAAGAUUUUCAUACGAAAUAGUAAACAGUAAGACCGAGCCUGAAAACCUAUUGGUAGAAACUAGUCAAACAAAGCUGUAAUUAUGUUAAAAAGAGUUCCAUUUACUGCUACCACCAAGAUGCCUCCAAAAUUACUUGUGGUACCUCUAGCGGUACUAGUCCCAGAAAGUAAUGGCUGGACUGUUAAUGGUACUAAAAGAGUUGCUAGUACUUUUAUUAGUAGUUCUGCCCCAUUUUGCACUCACAUGCUCACACACAAACACAGAUGUAUUCAGGUAUAGUUGUUGAUUGGCUGUUGUCAUUCUUGUCCUUGUGUUUGACAGGAAGAUGAGGGUAUUGUGUUUGAAUAGUGAAAGUUAUUGAUGAUUAUUGAUUAGUAGUAAUAGUAGCAAAAUCAUUAUCUGUUAUUAGAAUGAUUUUUUGGUUGGAGUGGGAGUCCACUUUUAUAUUCUACUGUCACUAUGUCAUAACUUUGUAAUUUGAAGUGCAAUAGAUAGGUGGAAACUUGAAAAUUUCACUUACACGUGAAAGGAUGGUUACCAGGAAGAUACACUUACCUCUGGCUUUCAUCUUAAUAAUUUUGUAAACUGAUUUUAGCCAAAUUUACAGUUUUCAAAUAAUGAUUUUUCUUCCCCUUUUUUUGUUACUGGUGCUAAAUAUUCUCUAUUAUUAUUAUUAUUAUUGUUAUUCUGAUGAUUAUUGUUAUUAUUGUAAUAUUAUAUUAUCACAUUAUUCCUUUGGGUUAUUAUUUCCUUCAAUUUUCUUCUCUCUUUAUCUUUUGUCUAUAUAGGUUUUUUGUACUAUGUCUUCUGUUGUAUACUUAGGUAACUCAUUUUAUCAUUUUGCCAGUCUCUCCCUUAGGGAUCUGGUUUAACCCAUUCGCGCCGGAUGACGUGCAGACACAUUUCGUGUUUUUUGCGUAAGACGCCGGCGACAAGAUAUUUGGUCAAGGCUGGCGUUCACGGUGGGCGAGUGGACAGCCCA
This 4084-nucleotide unclassified non-coding RNA is filed under the name Penaeus japonicus. RNAcentral's name for it is "peroxisomal targeting signal 1 receptor-like, transcript variant X1". The record is from RNAcentral. Lineage: Eukaryota; Metazoa; Arthropoda; Malacostraca; Decapoda; Penaeidae.